Molecule: non-coding RNA, 212 nt
Organism: Pelobates cultripes (western spadefoot toad)
Lineage: Eukaryota; Metazoa; Chordata; Amphibia; Anura; Pelobatidae
Source: the annotation of a GenBank genome assembly
UUCACAUAUAGGUAUGUACUCACUUACACAUAUAAAAUUUAGCACUUUUGAAAAAAAAAUAAAAAAAUUAUGACAUCAUUUUGGCGCCAUUUUCUAAUAUGUUCACUGCCUAUAUAAACCUGUAUGUAACAGGAUGUACUUUCUGAUCUCCACUUGAUAAAGCCUAAGGGCGAAACGCGUUGUGUUUUUUUUUAAACUAUAUUGUUUUAAAU